AUUGAACGCUGGCGGCAUGCUUUUUUCAUGCAAGUCGAACGGUAACAGGUUAAGCUGACGAGUGGCGAACGGGUGAGUAAUGCAUCGGAACGUGCCCGGUCGUGGGGGAUAACGCAGCGAAAGCUGCGCUAAUACCGCAUACGAUCUAUGGAUGAAAGCGGGGGACCGUAAGGCCUCGCGCGAUUGGAGCGGCCGAUGUCAGAUUAGGUAGUUGGUGGGGUAAAGGCUCACCAAGCCAACGAUCUGUAGCUGGUCUGAGAGGACGACCAGCCACACUGGGACUGAGACACGGCCCAGACUCCUACGGGAGGCAGCAGUGGGGAAUUUUGGACAAUGGGCGCAAGCCUGAUCCAGCAAUGCCGCGUGCAGGAAGAAGGCCUUCGGGUUGUAAACUGCUUUUGUACGGAACGAAACGGCGAGCUCUAAUACAGUUUGCUAAUGACGGUACCGUAAGAAUAAGCACCGGCUAACUACGUGCCAGCCGCCGCAGUAA
RNAcentral lists this ribosomal RNA (493 nucleotides) under uncultured bacterium. RNAcentral's name for it is "partial 16S ribosomal RNA". It matches the Rfam family "Bacterial small subunit ribosomal RNA", at positions 30 to 523 of the family's 1533-position model. The record is from RNAcentral.